Etheostoma spectabile (orangethroat darter) is the source of this 114-nucleotide long non-coding RNA. RefSeq lists it as uncharacterized. NCBI's taxonomy places the organism in Eukaryota, Metazoa, Chordata, Actinopteri, Perciformes, Percidae. The record is from RefSeq and is a predicted model, not a curated record. The transcript is spliced from 4 exons.
CAGACAGCAGACGGAGACUGACACCCUCUUUUCAAUGAUGUUCACGUUGUGUAAUUACGUCACUUCAUAACGGUCCCAUGGCAACAGGGGAAAAUGGCUGCUCUUGUGUGAAGU